CAUGAAUGCAGAUAUACUUUAAAGAAGAUUCAAGGCCUCUCAUUUCCUCGAAAGAGUAAAAUCCACUUUCUACGUCAAAAGUCUUUCAACACGGAAAACCCACUUGCUUUAAGAAAGGCUUUGAAUACACUUUAAAUUAUAUAUAUAUAUAUAUCGUGCUUAAACAUAAUAUACUACAGCUUCCUUUGUUCAGUUUUUCGUUGGAGCCCAUAUAGAAGAAACAAAUUAAAAUGACAAGCAAAGCUUCUUCGAACUCUAAUGCUAUUAUCAUCUUAUGCUGUUUGUUCAUGAUUUGGAUUAUCAUGGUUUCACCGGUGGUCGCUCCCAUACCCUCCCUCAGAUCUGGAACCGCUGCAGGACAUAACGAUCAUGAACGCGCUGGCAGCAGCUCAAUAAUUGCACAGGCGCCUAAUCCAUAGAAGUAUCGUCAGCAAAAUAAAUAAAGCAGCUGGUUCACAUGUUAUUAAGAUGAGCGUAGUAUGUAUGGUUUUGUUUUAUCAUUCAACUAAAUUUGAAUUUUCCCUUUAAUUCGUAUGCAGAGAACUGUGAUAAUAAAUUGUUGAGUAAUAUAUAUUUUUUAUUUUUUUUUUAUUUUUUUUUUUUUGAAGGAUAAAAAAGUAUAAUUGUUGUUGUGUAAUUUAUUCGAAGGGUCCUAUUGUAAUUCGCUAGAUAAGAUCUUUGUGAUCAAUUUUCUCUGCUACACGAAUCCAAAUCUAUUGAAAAUGCGAAAACAAAUAA
Long non-coding RNA from Cornus florida, 738 nucleotides. RefSeq lists it as uncharacterized. Lineage: Eukaryota; Viridiplantae; Streptophyta; Magnoliopsida; Cornales; Cornaceae. The record is from RefSeq and is a predicted model, not a curated record. The transcript is spliced from 2 exons.